ACCACCAAAAAUAAUUUCUGCAAUCUGACCAUCCAACUGUCACUCUUCUUACUUUCUAAUAAACAGAAACCAAAGAGCAGCAGAAAACUGAUCACAGAAAAAAAAGAAGCAUGACAGCCUCUCUACAAGCAGCUGCUACUCUUAUGUAACCAACUAAGGUUGGUGGUGUCUCUGCCAGAAACAACUUGCAAUUGAGGUCAUAUCAAAGUGUGAACAAGGCGUUUGGUAUUGAACCAUCUGCAUCCAGGGUUACUUGCUCUUUGCAAGCUGAUCUUAAAGAUUUUGCUCAGAAAUGUACUGAUGCUGCCAAGAUUGCUGGAUUUGCUCUUGCCACUUCUGCUCUCGUUGUCUCAAUACAGGUGUUAGAGAUCCCCAACAGGCGCUUCGUUGAAGAUCAUUAUUUUUCAGCUAUUUGUAUAUAUAUUGCAAUUUUUGGACGAAGAGGGUUCGGUUGCCACCCCUCGCACCCCUGUAGCUCCGCCCCUGUGUAGAGGGAGAGAUCGGGCUCCAUAUGGGGAGAGGAAAGAUAAUGAUAAGAAGGAUCGACAAUUCGACGAGCAGGCAAGUGACUUUUUCGAAGAGGAGGAAUGGAUUGUUGAAGAAGGCGAAGGAUCUAGCGAUCUUAUGGGAUGCGGAGGUUGGUGUCAUUAUCUUCUCCAGUACUAGCAAGCUACAUGAUUAUGCAAGCACCAGGUUCUUUCACCAAUCUCUUCGACCUCUUUCUUUCUAUCUAUAUGUAGUCCGUCCCUUAAAUUUGUUAGGAUUUUUCAUUCAAACGCUCGAAUUAAGUCAUGUUCUAAUUGUAAGCCUCAACUCCUAAUAUAGCGUUCCAAUUAGACACGUUCUAUUCAAUUUUUUUAAAAAUCUUUUACGUGUAUUUUUAUUCAUCUAUUAGAUAGUUAAGUUAAUCACAUAAAAUAUGUCAUCUUCUUUAAUUAUACCAUCAACCAAUCAAGUAGAAAAUGCACGGGGUUUACGAUUUAUUGAGAUGCAUGUGUAUAACUAGAGAAGAUGAAAUAUUUUAUGUGGUUAAUUUAACAACCCGAUAGACGAAUAAGCGAACACAAACAAAAAAAAAUUAAAAUUUGAAUUGAAAGUGUCUAAUUAAUUAUAACACUUUAUUAAGAGUACUUGAGUUGUUCAAUCGAAAUAAAGUGUAAUUCAAAUGUCUAAAUGAAAUAUGCUGACAAGUUCAAGAAUUGUUACAUAAGUUCAACUAAUUGAAAUUACUAGGACGAAGAUAUAUAAGUCGAGAUUUUAUGAUUCAAAUAGGUCCAUUUCAAAGAAUAUAUAUGCUUUAUUUCACUGCAAAGUUUUUUGUUUGCUAGCUAUGUGUCGCUUUAAUGUGCUAACUAUUAUUUUGGAUCAAGACUUUUUGAUAAUCUUUUGCCUAAUUAAUGCUUUAGUUUAUCUAUUCGUAAAAUAGUUUUUUUUUUUCAACGAAAAAUUCAUUUCUUAAGUUUAAGUACAAGGACUCUCUAAAUGUAGUAAGUCAAGUUGCAUAGCACGUUGUGGCUUUAUUCAAUCCUGAAGGUACCUAACAAUUUUUUCCUAAAUAAUAUGCGGACAAUAUCUCUUUAAGGACGAUGGUAUUUCACGACAAAGUCUUUUUUCUUCAAUUUGAUUUUUUUCGACUUUUCUAACUUUUUUGGAGUUUUGGAAGUUUCAUUCCAAAUCUAGUAAUCUGUGGAAUUUAACCUGAGUUUGACACUGUUAUAUUCCAAGUUGAGUAAAACUGGAUUUGUAGAUAGACAAAAAGCUAAAAAAAUUCCCUUACACGCAUUCUCCUUUUAUUUUACAUAUAUUUCGAAUAUUUCUCUAAGGUUUUUCAUAUCACGAUUUUCUGUUGUUAGUGAACACUUGCUUCGUUCUUGGACGUUAAGAUGUUUAUACAAAGUAUUCUUCAUGUAAAUAUUUGGAUUCUGUUCAAUAGAAUGAACUUAUAUAGUGCUAAAUUUAGUAUGAUGAUCAUGACUCAAGAGAUAGGUCUUGAUAAGAACUUAAAGUACCUAUCCUAAUUAAAAUAGAUUUUUGUUUUUACGAACUUCACUUUAUGCCAUUGAAUGUAUAAUUUUCAUUCUAGCAUAAGAAUCUCAAAACGAGCUAAAAGACUUUUAGAAAGCAUAGAAUUUAAAGUGCACGUGUUAACAUAACCAAAACUCCAACAAUCCAGGAAAGAAAACAAUCCUAGCCAUGUCUACUUAUCACAUGUCACCCUUUUGCCUUCUUUUUCCCCCAAGAAAACUACUCGGGUGAGAGGACCUGUGAGCAGGUAUAUUUAGGGGUCGCAAUUGGGUGGGUUAGAUUAAGUUUGGACGGAUCAUAAUGGGUUAGGACAAUAAUUGAGUCAAGAUUCUUUCAACUUAAAUUUAUUUGGGUAAAAACGGAUUGGAUCAAUAUGGGUUAGAUAAUGAGUUAUAUAACGGGUUAAGACUCAACCCAUCAAAUCACGAUUUAAAUUUAUUUGAAAUAAAAUUACAAAUGUUUAUCCAUUUCAAAUCAACAUCUGCAUAAAAUUUUCAUCAAUAAAUACACGCAUGUUUAUACUCGAACAUGAUUCAAAUAAAAUAAAUUAUUGAAAUCACUUUUAACUCCUUAAACAAAAGUAUUCAAGUUGUAAAUGUCACCAACAAUAAAGAUGGUGAAAUCUAAUAACACAAGUACUGCUAAUAAUCAAUGACAAUGAACAUAGUCUAAAAGUACUUAGUCAUGUUAAAAUAAUAAGCACUGCUUAUAAUUUUUAAUUAUAACAAGAAAUAUUAAAAAAAUAAAAACUAAACUAUGCAUUUUCACUAUCUAAACCAAUACCAAAAAAAAAACCAUUUUACGCUAUUAUUAUUCUUAGUGCUGAAUUUUUUAUUUUUUUUUAGUAUUGAUUUGAUUUUAAUUUGAGCUUUAUUUGAGCUAUCUACAUUUAUAUGGACUAUAAAAUUUAUUUGUUAUGAAUAUAUUAUGUGGAUGUCCACUAAAUGUAAUAUCACUAUUAUUCUUCAUCAUUAUGCGUAGUAAUACCCGCACCUCCACCACCUCCUUGUUUAUCUUUUACACUCCUUGAUCUUCCUCACGUCUCAAGGAUUAAUGUAUGUUUAUGACCAUCUUUUUAUAUGGUUCUAUGUAAUAUUAUAAAUAGAGGUCUUGUGGAUUAUGUUGAAGACACUUGAACACAGUUGGAAGAAUGUAAAAGGUCUCCUCUCUUGUCUCACUCA
Molecule: long non-coding RNA, 3206 nt
Organism: Solanum dulcamara
Lineage: Eukaryota; Viridiplantae; Streptophyta; Magnoliopsida; Solanales; Solanaceae
Exons: 3
Source: RefSeq, a predicted model, not a curated record